AUUUAGAACACAGCAUAGGGUUCCAUUUAGAACACAGCAUAGGGUUCCAUUUAGAACACAGUAUAGGGUUCCAUUUAGAACACAGUAUAGGGUUCCAUUUAGAACACAGCAUAGGGUUCCAUUUAGAACACAGCAUAGGGUUCCAUUUAGAACACAGCAUAGGCUUCCAUUUAGAACACAGCAUAGGGUUCCAUUUAGAACACAUCCCAUGUCUGAGACAGACACAAAAGCUUUAUAACAGUUAGACCAGUAAUAACAUCAGGCUUGAGAACAGUUCUAACAUGUUAUAGAACAAGACACAGCCUUGAGAACAGUUAUAACAUGUUAUAGAACAACAGGCUUGAGAACAGUUAUAACAUGUUAUAGAACAAGACACAGGCUUGAGAACAGUUAUAUGGUUAUAAUAAGACAAUGGCUUGAGAACAGUUAUAACAUGUUAUAGAACAACAGGCUUGAACAGUUAUAACAUGUUAUAGAACAACAGGCUUGAGAACAGUUAUAACAUGUUAUAGAACAACAGGCUUGAGAACAGUUAUAACAUGUUAUAGAACAACAGGCUUGAGAACAGUUAUAACAUGUUAUAGAAGAACAGGCUUGAGAACAGUUAUAACAUGUUAUAGAACAACAGGCUUGAGAACAGUUAUAACAUGUUAUAGAACAACAGGCUUGAGCCUCCAUGUGUUGCCUUCCGUUUGCUCCUCACUGGUUUAUCACUUUAUAUCUAUAUCUAUAUCACUAUAUCAAUUUAACCUGGAUGAAUAAACUGCUUAUUAAAACAG
Molecule: long non-coding RNA, 779 nt
Organism: Oncorhynchus tshawytscha (Chinook salmon)
Lineage: Eukaryota; Metazoa; Chordata; Actinopteri; Salmoniformes; Salmonidae
Source: Ensembl